This 467-nucleotide ribosomal RNA is filed under the name uncultured bacterium. Its description in RNAcentral is "partial 16S ribosomal RNA". It matches the Rfam family "Bacterial small subunit ribosomal RNA", at positions 28 to 507 of the family's 1533-position model. The record is from RNAcentral.
GACGAACGCUGGCGGCGUGCUUAACACAUGCAAGUCGAACGGAAAGGCUCCAGCUUGCUGGAGUACUCGAGUGGCGAACGGGUGAGUAACACGUGGGUAAUCUGCCCUGCACUCUGGGAUAAGCCUGGGAAACUGGGUCUAAUACUGGAUAUGACCUUUCUCCUUAUGGGGUUUGGUGGAAAGUUUUUCGGUGUAGGAUGCGCCCGCGGCCUAUCAGCUUGUUGGUGGGGUGAUGGCCUACCAAGGCGACGACGGGUAGCCGGCCUGAGAGGGUGAUCGGCCACAUUGGGACUGAGAUACGGCCCAGACUCCUACGGGAGGCAGCAGUGGGGAAUAUUGCACAAUGGGCGGAAGCCUGAUGCAGCGACGCCGCGUGAGGGAUGACGGCCUUCGGGUUGUAAACCUCUUUCAGCAGGGACGAAGCGUAAGUGACGGUACCUGCAGAAGAAGCACCGGCUAACUAUGUG